RNAcentral lists this ribosomal RNA (240 nucleotides) under uncultured bacterium. Its description in RNAcentral is "partial 16S ribosomal RNA". It matches the Rfam family "Bacterial small subunit ribosomal RNA", at positions 338 to 595 of the family's 1533-position model. The record is from RNAcentral.
CCUACGGGGGGCAGCAGUGGGGAAUAUUGCACAAUGGGGGAAACCCUGAUGCAGCGACGCCGCGUGAGUGAGGAAGUAUUUCGGUAUGUAAAGCUCUAUCAGCAGGGAAGAAAAUGACGGUACCUGCCUAAGCAGCCCCGGCUCACUCCGUGCCAGCAGCCGCGGUACUACGUCGGUGGCAAGCGUUAUCCGGAUUUCCUGGUUGUAACGGGCUCGUAGACGGACUUGCAAGUCUGUUGU